GAUGAGGCGGCACACCCCGAGGAGGUCGAGACCUCCGCUACUUCCUGAUCCAGUGAGGUCCGUGACCUGAGGGCCCAGCUUGCGGUUCUCACUGAUCUGUUGGCGCAGCAGACGGCAGCGGCGCAGCGACAGGCCGAGGUGGCUCAGCGGCAGGAGGCGCGGAUGAAGCAUCUGGAGGAUCUCCUACUUCAGCAGGCGGCAG
This 202-nucleotide long non-coding RNA is filed under the name Ananas comosus (pineapple). RNAcentral describes it as "long non-coding RNA (ACOM_LNC038464)". The record is from RNAcentral. Lineage: Eukaryota; Viridiplantae; Streptophyta; Magnoliopsida; Poales; Bromeliaceae.